Molecule: long non-coding RNA, 262 nt
Filed under: Lathyrus oleraceus (garden pea)
Lineage: Eukaryota; Viridiplantae; Streptophyta; Magnoliopsida; Fabales; Fabaceae
Description: Pisum sativum (pea) long non-coding RNA (PSAT_LNC004234)
Source: RNAcentral
CUUCAGUUGACUUAUUGCCAACCUUAACCUUAUCAUUCUCCUCUUUUUCUUGACCUUUUUCCUUUUUACCGCUCUCAUCUUUGUCUUCAGGGACAUCCUCAGCCUUUUCUUGACCUUUAUCCUUUUCACCACUCUCAUCUUUGUCUUCAGGGACAUCCUCUUCUUCCAUGACAUCUAAUGCUGGUUUCUUAGCUUCAACACUUUCUUUUUCUUCUUUACUAUCAGUACUUUCCUUAACAUCAGUUUCUUCCCCCAAUUUGUC